Non-coding RNA from Acanthosepion pharaonis, 113 nucleotides. NCBI's taxonomy places the organism in Eukaryota, Metazoa, Mollusca, Cephalopoda, Sepiida, Sepiidae. The record is from the annotation of a GenBank genome assembly.
UUAUGGUCAUAUCACUUUGAAAAGCAGGUUCUUAUAUGAUCACUGAAGUUAAGCAACGUCGAGAGUCGUCAGUACCUAGAUGGGUGACCGCUUGGGAAUACCAGAUACUGUAA